RNAcentral lists this ribosomal RNA (774 nucleotides) under uncultured Neocallimastigales. RNAcentral describes it as "partial large subunit ribosomal RNA". It matches the Rfam family "Eukaryotic large subunit ribosomal RNA", at positions 24 to 643 of the family's 3401-position model. Lineage: Eukaryota; Fungi; Neocallimastigomycota; Neocallimastigomycetes; Neocallimastigales. The record is from RNAcentral.
UAUCUCUGUAGAGUCUGCAUAUCAAUAAGCGGAGGAAAAGAAACUAACAAGGAUUCCCUCAGUAACGGCGAGUGAAGCGGGAAGAGCUCAAAUUUGAAAUCUUCAAGGUUCUACCUUGACGAAUUGUAGUUUAAAGAAGUGUUUUCUGUUAGAUGAGUAGCAAAAGUUCCUUGGAAUGGGACAUCAUAGAGGGUGAGAAUCCCGUAUUUGGUUAUUCAUUCUAGCUUUGUGAUACACUUUCAAAGAGUCGGAUUGUUUGGGAAUGCAGUCCAAAAUGGGUGGUAAAUUUCAUCUAAAGCUAAAUAUUGGCGAGAGACCGAUAGCGAACAAGUACCGUGAGGGAAAGAUGAAAAGAACUUUGAAAAGAGAGUUAAACAGUACGUGAAAUUGUCAAAAGGGAAGCGUUUGACACCAGUGUUGUUUUUCCGAAAAUCAAUUACGAAUGGCUUGAUUCUGUGUUGUAUUGACCUUAUCAGCUUUCUUCACUUUUUUCGAGUCUUUCUUAGUGCACUUUUCGGUUAACAAGUCAACAUCAAUUUCUUUUGUUGUAAAAGAGUAUUCGGAAGGUGGCUUUCUUUUCGGAGAAAGUGUUUAUAGCCCUAUACUUCCACAAUCGGAGAGAUUGAGGUCUGCAGCGUAGAUCCUUCGGGGUUAGAUACACUUGUGCUAAGUUGUAGCUUUUCAUAGACAACUUGUUGACUAUGUUUAGUCAUGCGGCUUACUCGCUUGUGCUAUUUUACCUACGCUUAGGAUGUUGAAGAUGUAGCACAUCAU